RNAcentral lists this long non-coding RNA (11047 nucleotides) under Mytilus galloprovincialis (Mediterranean mussel). Lineage: Eukaryota; Metazoa; Mollusca; Bivalvia; Mytilida; Mytilidae. The record is from RNAcentral.
ACGCAGCGAUGUUAAGGCGAUUUACAUAAGAUAUUUUCAGGGGCAGAUAACCCCGUAAGGACCUCAUUAUUUAUUCAUAUAUUCAUCAAUGGCGGAGGCUGCGUCUAUCGAUGAAAAUGUAUGAAAUCAAAUUACAUACAUGCCUGUUAACUAAAAACGGCUAUUAAUAUGAUGUAAUUUAUUUAUCGAAAUACAAAUAUUGUAUGUUUGUGCCUGGAUUAUUAUGAAAACAGUUACAAUAGCUGUUUUUCUUGGCGAGAUUGUCGGCUUUUGGACCCAUCGGAUCAACCAAUGAGAAGACGAUCGACGUCAAAUAGAUGUUUGCAGUUUCCAGAAUGGAAAGAAAUUACAGCGAAAAUUAUUUUCACUUCUACGUGAAAAUCUAGCCAGAAAAGUAAGUGUGAGCCACAAGACAUGUAUUUAUUAUGAAACAUAUGUUGCUUGUUGUGUUUCUCAUUCGCCCCAGAUGGCGAAAAACUGUAUACUAUUAGAUAAAAACGAGUCCAAUGAGGGCAAGCAUGACAUACACGUGGUCAAAACAAAACAAGACCGCAACAAAUAGCUGAAAUUUAAGUUAUAUUUCGAGUCUCGUCAAUAAAUGAACAAGAUAUCGAAUGAAACAAGUUCCCAGCAUUAUACCAAGGGCCCAUUCUCAUCGUUUACCCCGAAAUUCGUUUCUAAUUAUCGUUUCGCAGGUGUCCUGCCUACCUCAGUACCUGUCAUUAAUUUCCUGGUUGGGUACAUAUUGCUCUAAUCCAAAUAAUAAUGAUAUCGUGGAGCUAUUAAUUUGGAGCACAGGGGUGCAUACAUACAUGUACUUGCUCAAAAGGAACCUGAAACACGUAAUCUGGAGCUUAACAUAUGUUGUACCCCUCCCCUAGUCCAAAUAAUUAUGAGGGGGGAUAGGACCUUUAUCAGGACUCUGGGACCGGGUGUUUUUAGAUUGGGAUUUGGGGAUUGACCCUUUCAGGAUCCGGGAAUUCUUUUUUUCGAAUUUCCGGACCUCCAGAUUUUGUAUUUUUUAAGCCAGGGAUUUCGUGUUUUUAAGCUAUACAUGUAUAUAUCCCGUUAAACAGAAGGGAUGCUAUUGUUUCAGAAAAGGGAGAAGGUUUGGAUCCAUUAAAACGUUUAAUCCCGCUGGAAAUGUUUGCACCUGUCCUAAGUCAGGAAUCUGAUGUACAGUAGUUGUCGUUUGUUUAUGUAAUAUAUACGUGUUUCUCGUUUUGUUUAUAUAGAUUAGACCGUUGGUUUUCCCGUUUGAAUGGUUUUACACUAGUAAUUUUGGGGCCCUUUAUAGCUUGUUGUUCGGUGUGAGCCAAGGCUCUGUGUUGAAGGCUGUACUUUAAAAGAGGGACGAAAGAUACCAAAGGGACAGUCAAACUCGUAAAUCUAAAACAAACUGACAACGCCAUGGCUAAAAAUGAAAAAGACAAACAGAAAAACAAUAGUACACAUGACACAACAUAGAAAACUAAAGAAUAAACAACACGACCCCCACCAAAAACUAGGGGUGAUCUCAGGUGCUCCGGAAGGGUAAGCAGAUCCUGCUCCAGAUGCGGCACCCGUCGUGUUGCUUAUGUGAUUACAAAUCCAGUAAAUAGUCUAAUUUGGUAGGUCAAAUUCAUGAAAGAGAAGGGGAUUGUAGUUACGACGUAAGGAACAUAUCCGAUAUCAUUUGUGAAACGGUUAUUCCAUAACGGUCAACCAACUCGUGAUGGCGUCCGUAAAAUUUACGAAGGGAUGAUUUCAACUUCACCAUUAUAAUGGUUUACUUUUUAAAUUGUUAUUUGGAUGGAGAGUUGUCUCAUUGGCACUCACACCACAUCUUCCUAUAUCAAGUUAUAAAAUUUUCUUGGGGAGCCUGCUUGCAAGAAAGUUGUUUAAAUUCUUAACAGAGAAAGACAUUUCUUUGUAGGAACCUGUAGAUUAAGGGCGUCUCAUAUUCUUAUUGCUCUGAAAGUAAGUCUACCAUAAGCCGCUGAGACAAAAUAAAAUACAACACGAAAGUGUUCAUUUGUAACAGUUAUACAAACCAGGCAUCAGGAACACAAAUACCCCCCCCCCCUUUUUUUUUGUCCAGGUUUAGGAACCCCCCUUUUUAAAAUAACUGGAUCUGCCCCUGCCCAUUGGUGACAUUUUCCAUUUCCAUUCUCACAUUUCUAUAACAUAUAAUUUAUAUCUUGUUUUUGAGUACUACAUGCAGGGCUCACGAUACCAGGCGACUUGGGCGAAGAAGUCGCCCUCCCGACCGUCACUUCGCUUUCCCCGACCCCCAAAAGCGAAAACAAGUCGCCCUGUUCUUGACGAAAGUCGCUUUCAGUCGCUUCCGUCAUCGGACAUUUUCAAUUUUUACCAAGUUGAUGAAACAUUAAUGUUUUACUGAUAAUUAAAGAAAUUCAGACAUAAACUAUUCAUUAUCUUUAGAAAAGAGGUUGAAGAUUGUCUUCACAGUGUGUAUCAGGUCAUUUGAUAAAACUUCGUGCAUUUUCGCAAGUUCCGGUGCUUGUUACUCGAAAACGUACAUCAACCUAAAUUUCGGCGGCAAAAUAAGUUGUUUACUUCAUUUAAACGUGAUAAAAGUUGCCUCCAGUAAAUGUUUAAUCCAUUUAUUGCAAUAAAACCGUCAUGUUCCUUUCCAAAUAACUUGUCAAACAUCGUUUAUUUUUGUAAAUUUUCUUGCAUUCGUCCGCCAUUGACCGAUUUCUAAACUACAGAUCUGAACCGGACCAGCUAUGACCGAAAUCCGUACUUUUACAAUAAUUACUACGGACGCACGGAUGGAACAGCUGACAGAAGAAUAUUGACCCCAAAGGGAAAAAUUACGCAUCCCACACGCAUUAAGAGACUUUUGGUUACAUCUAAUUGAUUGGUGUAUAUAAUUCCCUAUAUUUUUUAUGAAUGUUUCAAACUAUUGAUUAUAAAGUUGCUGAACUCUGAGACUAUUAUACUAAUAUCAAUAUAUUAUGGCCCAGCUUAAUAACUUUUAUAUUUUUUUUUAUGAGAAACGCUGAAUUUCAUACACAAAAUAAUUUUUAAUUAAAUUGUAAUUGAUAUAAUUUCUUUACAUUUUUUAAAAUAUUUUUUUGGAAAGUUUGCUAUAGCUUGCUAUAGCAAUAAACUUUCUUAAGGCAUCGGCCUAACCAGAAAAGAGACAGCCUAACUUACUUUAGGAAGUGUGUCCUACUUCUAGAUAAUGUAGUACUGGUGUUUGAAAACUAAUAAUAGAAAGAUGCUUUUGAAAUUUUGAGCUCUUCUUUUUUAAUAGCAUACAGCUUGAAUAAAAAAUGCACUGAAUUUUCAUCGAUAAAUCAAAUAAUUCAACUUCAUUUGAAAGACGAACAAAAACUACUUCGCGGAUCUGCGCUACGCGGAAAGUAAAAUCAAUACACACACGAGACAGCAGUUUCUACGUUAUGAUUUUAUCGGUAUUCUUCAGACAUGCGUCAGAUCCAUAUAUGUGUGCCUCCAAACGGGAGUACUACAAUCCCGGUUUCAAAGUUUUCCUACCUUCCUCCGGUUGAAGAGAAAAUUAAUAGCGUGUUUAAAAUAUUUCAUGAAUGAACAUUUUUCGUCGCUUUAUACUACGAUUUUUACAAAUUUCUAUUCAAUAUGUAAAAGCCCGAGAGUAUCGGAAGUAUCAUGGUAUCUCAUCUGAUCUCGGCCCACAACAAACUCGGACUAUAAUAAACUCGGCCUUUUACAUAUUCGGCAUAAGAAAUCGGACUAUAACAAAAAUCGUAAUUAUACUAAUUGCUAUUAAGACUCCUAAACAAAGUUUUUGCUCAUUUCUUAUUAUUUUUCUCCUUGGGGUCUAUUUAGUUGUAUUUUGAGGGGCCAACAGAAGGGAGGAAUUUACUAAAGAACCCUAAGGGAUUUUUUUUUUAAUUUUCAAUAACAAUAAUAAAUUAUAAACUUGAAGAAAACAGUAAGUGACAGACACACAUGGUUUUCAGUAAUGAUCACAGGACCAUAAAACAAAUCAAAAUUAAUUAAAUUUAGGUUGAGUCCAUGGUGUCACCCCACCUAACCCCUCAUGUUUGAAUACUUAAAAAACAGUCAGAUCCCCACUCCUAAACAUUAUAUGUUCUUUAUAUGUUACAAUAAAACAAAUCAGAUGAAAUAAAAGGCGAGUCCCCUGGGGUCACUCUCACCCCCUGGUUUUUUGAGAAACUUAUUAACAGCUGAGACUUCAACCAAUAUACCAUAUAUAUUAUUGUAUGGGACAAUGAAAUAAAUCAAAUGAAAUAUAGAGGAACUCCAGAGGGGUCAGUCACCCCACCCAUAAACCAUAUGUAUUUUUGUAUGUGGCAACAAAACAAAUCAAAUGAAAUAAAGUGGGUGUCCCUAUUGGGUCAGCCCCAACCCCUCAUGUCUGGGAACUUAGAAACUGUCUAGAUCCCCACCCCUAAACCAUAUAUAUUUUUGUAGAGGGCAACAAAACAAAUCAAAUGAAAUAAAGUGGGUGUCCCUUUGGGUCAGCCCCACCCCCUCAUGUCUGAGAACUUGUAAACGGUCGAGAUCCCCACCCCUAAACCAUAUAUAUUUUUGUAUAGGGCAACAAAACAAAUUCAAUGAAAUAAAGUGGGAGUCCCUUUGGGUCAGCCCCACCCCUCAUGUCUGAGAACUUGUAAACGGUCGAGAUCCCCACCCCUAAACCAUAUAUAUUUUUGUAUAGGGCAACAAAACAAAUCAAAUGAAAUAAAGUGGGAGUCCCUUUGGGUCAGCCCCAUCCCCUCAUGUCUGAGAACUUGUAAACGGUCGAGAUCCCCACCCCUAAACCAUAUAUCUAUUUUUUGUAUAGGGCAACAAAACAAAUUCAAUGAAAUAAAGUGGGAGUCCCUUUGGGUCAGCCCCACCCCUGUUGUUUGACAACUUGGAAAUGGUCAAGAUCCCUCCCCUUAACCAUAUAUAUUCUUGUACUGGACAAUAAAACAAAUCAAAUUCAAAAGAAGGCAAGUCCCUAGGGGUCACUCCCAUCCCCUUGUUGUUUGAGAACUUGUAAACGGCUGAGAUCCACACCCACAAACCAUAUAUAUUUUUGUAUGAGAAAAUAAAAUAAAUCAAAAUGAAAUAUAGAAGAAGUCCACAGGGGUGACCCAACCAACUUUUUUUGGAAAACUUAUACGGUUGAGAUGAUCACCCCUAAACCAUAUAUAUUCUAUUUUAUGGGGCAACAAAACAAAACCAAUGAAAUAUAGUGGGAGUACCUCUGAGUCAUCCCCAACCCCUCAUGUUUGAGAACUUGUAAACGGUUGAGAUCCCCAACCCUUAAUCAUAAAUAUUCUUGUAUUGGACAAUAAAACGAAUAAAGUGAAAUAUAAUUAAGUCCCUCGGUGUAACCCCACCCCAUCCUGUUUUGAGAACUUGUAAACAGUCAAGAUCCACCCCCUUUUCGAAAACUUGAAAACUGUUGAAAUCCCCACAGUGAAACAACAUAUAUUCUUGUACGGAAUAAUAAAACAAAUCAGAUGAAAUAAAAGGCUAGUCCCCUAGGGCCACUCUUACCCUACCUCCUGCCUGUUUGAAAACUUGUAAACUGUCUAGAUCCCCACCCCCAAAUCAUGAAUAUCACUUUACUAGACCGGACCAAUUUGUAUUGGACUUUGCUUAAUGUCAGGCGACCCGUGGGAAUGACUAAUUUUGAGAGCUUUGUUUGGGAGACUUCGUAGCAGCAUCCUGUUACAAUUAUUUCUUGAUAAAGUUUUUUUCUUUUUUAAGUAGGAAAAAAAAAGGUAACCAUGCAAUCUACACACUAUCUAUUUGAAAUAUUACAAUCUACAGUUGCAAACUUUCCACGGGUGCUAUCCAGCACUUUGAUUUUUUUAGUCCUAGAUAUUUAGUUGGUAGUUUCUCACAAGAACCUUAGUAAAACUUAAACAACUUUUAAUUUCAAAUGUUACUUUAAUUGUAAUUUUUUACUCAUUAUAUGAAUUGAACAACAUAAAAAGAACAUUAUUUACAUAUGGCCCUUUAUACUAUUGUAAAAUCCAAACAUUGUAGCGCACCCGCGCGAAUGAGCACUUCUCUUUCAAAUCUCACCACUUCUCCCUAUCAAUUUCAAAAAGAGAAGUCACUUCUCCCUAUAAUUCUGAAGUAGUGUGAGCCCUGCUACAUGUAUAGGGACAUUAUUCGUAAUAAAGGGUCGAAAUUAUCGCGUUUUUCAAAUAAUGACUUUAAAACGUUUGAACAAAUUUUCAUGAAAAUUUGCUGAAAUGAUCCCUUAUGAUUUUUUAUACAAUGAAUAUUUUUAGAUUUUACUCAUUCUCUUUAUGGGAUUUUAAUAUUAUUCAAAAAAUAAUCCAUGAACUGUGCCACUGUUGGCAAUUUUUUUUAUAUUUGUACAUGUACCCCGGCACCACUUUUAGUAUUUAAAAAAGUUGGGGCAUACUGUUUUACUACUGUCUGUAUAUCCUUAGGUCAGUCGGUCCCAUGAAUAUUUUCAUAGCACUGUUUGCAGGAAUGUUACAAGGAUUUCUGAAAUUUGGCUUCAGAGUUUAUACAUGCAUGUCAGAGUCAGUUAUACUGUGUCAUGCUUUUUCAGAUUCAUUACUCAACAACUUUCUGUUAACCUUAUACUUUAAGGGUAUGGGAAUAUUAUUAGUGAGCAGUAGCUCACAGAGAUUCAGGUGUUUGUUUUAGAUUUUAUAUUUUGGAGGGGCUGGCUAUUACGGGCAGUGAUUUCAGUAUUUCUAGUUAAUCAUGAAAAUUGAUUUAAGACAUGUAUAAAGAAGAGCUAAAAUGACCACACUUGUAUAUAUGGCCAUGUCAGUCUGUCUGUUUAAGGUUACAAUCUUACAUGUAUAUCAUCAAUAUAUAUAGGGUAGGUAGGUCAGUAUUUCACUUUUACUAUUUUUUUUCUUUUCCUUUUUUGUGCAUGAUUUUGAGUUGUGCCAUGGUCUCAGUUGUCCAUGGGCCGAGUUUACCCAUAUUUUUAAUGAUUGGAUUAUUUCCCUUGGUUAUUGGUUGGAAAAAUGGGGGUGAAGUUUUUAUUUUAUGACACGAGUUGCAAGUUUCCUUAGAACAGCUGUCAUAUUCACGAUUGUGAACAUUGGGAUGUAUCAGGCAAUUGAUUAAAUUUAUUGGCAACCCUUACUUCGCUUUUGACACGAGUUUUAUAAAUUUUUCACUUAAUGACAGGAAUAAAAUAGCUUUGAGUCAGCGCUCAAAUUAGGGUCAGUCGAGUAACUGUAAACAGACAUAUACCAUGUAUACAUGUACAUGUAUUUUUUUUUUUGCCAAUUAUCACUGUGUAUCAUCGUACAGUUGAUAUAGUUACUAACCAAGCGGGCAUGAUCGUUUUUGAACUGACAUGGUAACGAAAUCUUUGUUUUGUUUUAUCAACAUUCAGUGUACAGUUUUCAACAUCUGAAAUUCCUGCUCCAAAAUAAUUUUCGCAUCGAUUUUUUCAUAUUUAUAUUAAAGACAUAUUUUAUAUUCUAAUAUAUAUAUAUAGGAACAAUUAACUUGUAAAUGCGCAAAUAGUUGUGUAUGUCAACACCAACUUUCAAUUUCCAUAUAAUUGUCGAGACAUUUACAUGUUUUACCUUAAAGAAGGCUAAUACAGGACAAAAGUAAUAGUUACCAAUCAUAAACCGACCUGUGAUUACUCAUUCCUUGAACAUUUUUGGUUAAAAAACGAGUAUGAAAAUAAUAUUUUUGUGUCGGUGUGCAGCAACUUAACUAUCAAUGACUGUGCACCAUACAGACAGAUUUAUGUGGUCAGCUAAACACCGUACACAACGCUUCUUUUCGGAAUAAAAUAUAAAAAAAAACCAUAUAUACAAACAUGUACAUGAAAAAUUUGGAACCCCCCCUUUUUUUUGGACAAUCAAUGCAUUUGAAUGGGGACAUGUAGUUGGACCCCCCCCCCCCCCCCCCCCCUUUGUCCUGGGUUAGGAACCCCCCUUUUUAAAAUGGCUGGAUCCACCCCUGGUAAGUAGUAACUAUAUCCGCUGUACUGGUGAUACAAGGUGUUCAUGGCAGAUCUCUAUUUUGUAUAAUUCUAGAAAUCCAAGAAAAAAUGGGCAUUAUACAUGUAUCUAUGAAGGAAAUCCUGCGAUCUAAUAAGGGUUGUGUGCACGUGGCAGACGUUAUUUUUUUAUUUAACAGUUAUUUGAAUCAUUAUACACAUGUUUAUGUUCCUAAUAUUUAAAAAAGUAUCUGUUUGUAAUUAAAUGAUUACCUUUUCUUUCAGCUUACCUGUUAAUUACAAGAUACACUAGUAUGCCAUUCCAGGUUUGAUGAAAUAUAAAGUGAUGGUUUGAAAUUGGAGAGUUUUAUUUUUAUACACAGGUAAAUUGUUUUAUCCUGCAAUCAGCUAACUUUUGUACAAUGAGACAACUCUCCUCAAGUGUCCAAAUGACACCAAAAUUAACAACUAUAGUUAUAGGUCACUGUAUGGCCUUCAACAAUGAGCAAAGCCCAUUCUGCAUAUUCAGCUACAAAAGGCCCCUAAAUUGCAAAUGUAUUUUUUAGCAAUUCAAAGGAGAAAACUAACAGUCUAAUAUGUAACACAGCAACAUAGACAACCACUGAAUAACAGGCACAUGCAUACAGAAUGUGGAGGGGUUAAUAGUCUAUAGAUAUAGGAAGAUGUGGUGUGAGUGCCAAUGAGACAACUCUCCAUCCAAAUAACAAUUUAUAAAAGUUAACCAUUAUAUGUCAACGUACGGCCUUCAACAAGGAACCUUGGCUCACACGAACUUAAAGCUAUAAAGGGCCCCAGAAUUACUAGUGUAAAACCAUUCUUACGGUAAAACCAAGUCCAACAGUCUAAUCUAUAUAAAAAAACCAAGAAACACAUAUAAAUUACAUAAACAAAAAAAAAACUGUAUAUGCUAGUGAGUGUUUUUUAUGCCCCAUUUAGGGCAUUAUGUUUUCUGGUCUGUGCGUCCGUCUGUUCGUUCGUCCGUCCGUCGUCUGUCCCGCUUCAGGUUAAAGUUUUUGGUCGAGGUAGUUUUUGAUGAAGUUGAAGUCUAAUCAACUUGAAACUUAGUAUAUAUGUUCUGUAUGAUAUGAUCUUUCUAAUUUUAAUUCCAAAUUGAUUUAACCCAUUUUCAUGGUCCACUGAACAUAGAAAAUGAUAGUGCGGAUGGGCAUCGUGUACUGGGACACAUUCUUGUUUAAUUUGUGCAAAUAAAUUUCUGUUUUCUUACAUUGUAAGAAUAUUAAUGUACAUGUAUGAUGUAUAUUCAGAAGUUAUUGUAAUGUUUUUUAUAUAGCAAAUUUGCAUUUUGAAUAUUGCAAUAAUGGAACUCACAUUCUGAUCUCAAUAAAUAUAACUCAUUUUAUUUUUAAAGUUUUAUCAAAGUAGUGCACCUUAUUAAAAUGUGUGUGAAAAAAUUACAUCCUUGUUCAAAUGUUUAAUGAAAUUUCUCGCUACAUUGAAGACCCAUUGGUGGCCUUCGGCUGUUGUCUGCUCUAUUGUCGGGUUGUUGUUGUUUUAACACAUCCCCAUUUCCUUUCUCAAUUUUAUUAUUCAUGUUAUUAAAUAAAGACCAGGGAAUUAUGUUGUUUGCAUUUUAACAGUAACUUCUUGAAGAAAUAUGUUUGCACUUACUUUUUAAUACUUUAAUCAUAAAUAUCAUGUUAAACAUUUCAUUUAAAUAUAUAUACAUGUACAUUAUAUUUGCAUUUUCAUAUUUCAGCAAUGAUGAUCACCUGUACCGAGACAGCAGAAGAAAGUUACUUAUUUAUAACUCAUCAUGACCAUUUAAUACCGAAAAUCUGAUUAAAAUUUGUUUGGAAAGCCACCAAAUAUUUCAAUGAAAAGAAGAAAAAAAGACAGCAAUUCUAUAUCAUGUAUAUCAUGUACUAAGCAGAAGCAUUUGCUGUUUCAAGACCCAGUUGAAUUGGAGUUUAGUGUUUUGAUGCAGUGAGACAGAGGAAUAUUUAAGUGAACAGUUUAGCUUCUUUUUCAUCAUCGUGAUCAUUAAAGUUGAUGUUUACCAUCGGAGAGAGCUUUUUCCUCAGUUGAAAUGAAUUCUAAAUACAGGCAGUUUGGAGACUUUGUAUAUUUCUUUCUUACAAUUGGAGUUCUAAAAAGGAUUACAUUUAAAAAAAAAAUGUGUUGCAACAGUUUCAUGGAUUUAAUUUGUGGUCUCUUUCGUGAAAUAUUUGAAAAAUAUGCAAUAUCUAACCAAGUAGUUUAUUAGAGAUCUACAGAUGAACAUAUGACAUGUAUGACAUUCAGAUGAAUUUGAAAGAAGGAAAUAUAUUUAUUUAUAAGACUUUAAUAUGAGUGUUUAGUUAUUUUUUGGCAAUUACAGGCAUGACAGGGAGUAAUUAUAAGAUAAAGUUAUUUGAUUUAAACAUAAAUCCUACCUACAGAUAUACAUGCGAUAUACAUAUAUGCAUGUAGGCAUACAAUUCACUGACACACCACUAAUUUGAGUUACAUGUACAUGUAAUGAUAAAAGUAAGAAUAUGACAUAUAAAAAAAAAUUGAUUCACUCAGAUUGCCAAUGAAACAACUCUCCAUCAGGGAAAAAAUAGUUGUUUAUAUACAUGUAUUGGCCACCUGCAGAGACAUGAGAGAACAAGAAAAUCAUAUUUUAUCAUGAUUUAUAAUUUUUCUAUUUCAUUUCAUAUAAACACUGAAUACAGGCCUACAUUUGUAGGUGUACAAAAAGUUCAAAAGCAUAAAACAGUGUUGUAAUCAUGCAGUUGUUGUUCAUCUGAAAGUCGUAUGAUAUUGAUGUUGGGCUUCAAUAAUGAGCAAAACAUCUGUAUAACAGCCACAUAAUGGUUAAUUUUGAACAAAAUAAUUAUGGGUAUUUCCAUUUUGUACAUGCAUGUAUAUAUGUAUUGUACAUGAAGAUGUGUAUCUCAUGUACAUACAUGUAGCUUGUUUAUACUUGGAAAUCAGAAAAUGCAAUGUUUUCAUUUCUUGUUCUUGUCUAAACUAAAAUUGGUUAUUUAUAUAAUGACAUAAAUUAAUGACAUGAUAAUUGUAAAUGUUUGGCAUAAAAAAAUAUAAAUUUAUUUAAAUGAUGGUAUUACAAUGCAUUAUUUGUAUCCAGGAUUUUCUGUAACUGCAAUAAUAAAU